AGGGCGUAUAGUGGAUGCCUUGGCAUAUGAAGUCGAUGAAGGACGUGGUAAGCUGCGAUAAGCUUCGGGGAGGUGCAAACAACCGUUCACCCGGAGAUUUCCGAAUGGGACAACCCAAUCCAAGUAAUGUUGGAUUACUGCCAUCUGAAUAUAUAGGAUGGUAAGAGGUAACGCAGGGAAGUGAAACAUCUCAGUACCUGCAGGAAUAGAAAACAAUAGUGAUUCCCGGAGUAGCGGCGAGCGAAAUGGGAACAGCCUAAACUGAUACAAUGUCAUGUCUGCAACGUAGUUGUAUCAGGGUUGUGGGAAUUUGUCGGAAGGUUAGCAGGACCUUCGACGAGUCAAAAAAUAUUUUGUUAGGAGAAUGAAUCAGGAAAGUUUCAGCCAUAGAGGGUGAUAGCCCCGUAUCUGAAAACAAAAUAUCUCGUUGGACUUAUCUCCCAAGUAGGACGGGACACGUGAAAUCCCGUUUGAAUCUGCCGGGACCAUCCGGUAAGGCUAAAUACUCUCAUAUGACCGAUAGUGAAAUAGUACCGUGAGGGAAAGGUGAAAAGUACCCCUGGAGGGGAGUGAAAUAGAACCUGAAACUAUAUGUCUACAAGCUGUCGAAGUCCGUAAGGACGACGGCGUGCCUUUUGCAUAAUGAGCCAGCAAGUUACUCGUAUCUAGCAAGGUUAAGUGUAUAACACGGAGCCGUAGGGAAACCAAGUCUGAAUAGGGCGUUUAGUUAGAUGCGGUAGACGCGAAACCGAGUGAUCUUACCAUGGUCAGGUUGAAGCUCUAGUAAAAUAGAGUGGAGGACCGAACCGACUUGGGUUGAAAACCGAGCGGAUGAACUGUGGUAAGGGGUGAAAGGCCAAUCAAACUCGGUGAUAUCUCGUUCUCUCCGAAAUGCAUCUAGGUGCAGCGUUACGUGAGAGUAUCAUGGAGGUAGAGCACUGACUGGGCUAGGGCUCCUACAGGAGUACCAAACCCAAUCAAACUCCGAAUGCCAUUGAUAUGUUUCGUAGCAGUGAGGCAGUGGGUGAUAAGAUUCAUUGCCAAGAGGGAAACAACCCAGACCUACAGCUAAGGCCCCUAAAUUUAUACUAAGUGAUAAAGGUUGUGAAUUAGCACUGACAGCUAGGAGGUUGGCUUAGAAGCAGCCAUUCCUUUAAAGAAAGCGUAAUAGCUCACUAGUCAAGGUAAUUUGCGCCGAUAAUCUCCGGGACUCAAGUAUAAUGCCGAAGCUUAGGAUUCCUAUUUAUAGGAGUGGUAGGAGAGCGUUCCAUCAACUGUCGAAGGUUGACCCGUGAGGGCAGCUGGAGGAAAUGGAAAUGAGGAUGCUGGCAUGAGUACACGAUAAAAUACGUGAAAUUCGUAUUCACCAUAAGCCCAAGGUUUCCUGAUCAAUGUAAAUCAGAUCAGGGUUAGCCGGCCCCUAAGGCAAGGCCGAAAGGCGUAGUCGAUGGGAAUCAGGUUAUUUGAAUAUUCCUGAGCCUCCGAACCUUAAACCAAGAAAUCCAUUUCCCAGAACUAAUAUGCUUAUUGAUUUGUAUAUUAGUAGUAAGAAGUGGCAAGAAAAAGCUUGGUGUAUGCUAAGGAGACCGUACCGUAAACCGACACAGGUAGGCGAGGAGAGUAUCCUAAGGUGCUUGAGAGAAUUCUGGUCAAGGAACUCGGCAAAAUAGCCCCGUAACUUCGGGAGAAGGGGUGCCCACCUCUUGGUGGGCCGCAGUGAAAUGAGGGUAGCGACUGUUUACUAAAAACAUAGGUCUAUGCUAACACGUAAGUGGAAAUAUAUGGACUGACACCUGCCCGGUGCUGGAAGGUUAAGUGGAUCUGUUAUCUCCUUCGGGAGAGAAGCUCAGAAAUGUAUGGGGGCUGACACCUGCCCAGUGCCGGAAAAGUUUAAGGGAGGCUGGUUUAGCUUUUAGUGAAGCUGGCGCCUGAAGCCCCAGUGAAACGGCGGCGUAACAAUAACGGUCCUAAGGUAGCGAAAUUCCUUGUCGGGUAAGUUCCGACCUGCACGAAUGGCGUAACGAUCUCCCCGCUGUCUCAAACGUAACUAUAACGGUCCUAAGGUAGCGAAAUUCCUUGUCGGGUAAGUUCCGACCUGCACGAAUGGUGUAACGACUUCCCUACUGUCUCGACCAGAAACUCAGUGAAAUUGUAAUGUCGGUGAAGAUGCCGGCUAAUCGUAGAAGGACGGAAAGACCCCGUGCACCUUUACUACAGCUUGAUAUUGUCUUUUAAUCCUACAUGUGUAGGAUAGGUGGGAGGCUUUGAAGCGGGCACGCUAGUGUUCGUGGAGCCAUCCGUGAAAUACCACCCUUGUAUUAUUGAAAGUCUAACCAUGCGCCUUGAAUCAGGUGUUGGAACAGUGUCUGGUGGGUAGUUUGACUGGGGCGGUCUCCUCCCAAAAUGUAACGGAGGAGCUCAAUGGUCACCUCAGCACGGUCGGUAAUCGUGCGUAGAGUGCAAACGCAUAAGGUGGCUUGACUGCGAGACCGACAGGUCGAGCAGGUGCGAAAGCAGGAGUUAGUGAUCCGGCGGUCCCGUAUGGAAGGGCCGUCGCUAAUCGGAUAAAAGGUACGCCGGGGAUAACAGGCUUA
This 2594-nucleotide ribosomal RNA is filed under the name metagenome. RNAcentral's name for it is "bacterial LSU rRNA". It matches the Rfam family "Bacterial large subunit ribosomal RNA", at positions 14 to 2485 of the family's 2925-position model. The record is from RNAcentral.